AUUGAACGCUGGCGGCAGGCCUAACACAUGCAAGUCGAGCGGAUGAAGGGAGCUUUCUCCUGGAUUCAGCGGCGGACGGGUGAGUAAUGCCUAGGAAUCUGCCUGGUAUUGGGGGAUAACGUCCGGAAACGGGCGCUAAUACCGCAUACGUCCUUAUGUAGAACGUGGGGGAUCUUCGGACCUCACGCUAUCAGAUGAUCCUAGGUCGGAUUAGCUAGUUGGUGGGUUAAAGGCCUACCAAGGCGACGAUCCGUAGCUGGUCUGAGAGGAUGAUCUGUCACACUGGAACUGAGACACGGUCAAGACUCCUACGGGAGGCAGCAGUGGGGAAUAUUGGACAAUGGGCGAAAGCCUGAUCCAGCCAUGCGGCGUGUGUGAAGAAGGUCUUCGGAUUGUAAAGCACUUUAAGUUGGGAGGAAGGGCAGUAAGUUAAUACCUUGCUGUUUUGACGUUACCAACAGAAUAAGCACCGGCUAACUUCGUG
This 484-nucleotide ribosomal RNA is filed under the name uncultured bacterium. RNAcentral's name for it is "partial 16S ribosomal RNA". It matches the Rfam family "Bacterial small subunit ribosomal RNA", at positions 30 to 507 of the family's 1533-position model. The record is from RNAcentral.